CAGCCGCCGCGGUAAUACGUAGGUGGCAAGCGUUGUCCGGAAUUAUUGGGCGUAAAGGGCUCGCAGGCGGUUUCUUAAGUCUGAUGUGAAAGCCCCCGGCUCAACCGGGGAGGGUCAUUGGAAACUGGGAAACUUGAGUGCAGAAGAGGAGAGUGGAAUUCCACGUGUAGCGGUGAAAUGCGUAGAGAUGUGGAGGAACACCAGUGGCGAAGGCGACUCUCUGGUCUGUAACUGACGCUGAGGAGCGAAAGCGUGGGGAGCGAACAGGAUUAGAUACCCCAGUAGUCCCUGUCUCUUAUAA
Molecule: ribosomal RNA, 301 nt
Filed under: uncultured bacterium
Lineage: Bacteria
Description: partial 16S ribosomal RNA
Rfam family: Bacterial small subunit ribosomal RNA
Source: RNAcentral